GAUGAAGAACGCAGCGAAAUGCGAUAAGUAAUGUGAAUUGCAGAAUUCAGUGAAUCAUCGAAUCUUUGAACGCACAUUGCACCCGCCAGUAUUCUGGCGGGCAUGCCUGUUCGAGCGUCAUUUCAACCAUCAAGCCCUGCUUGCGUUGGGGUCCUGCGGCUGCCCGCAGGCCCUGAAAACCAGUGGCGGGCUCGCUAGUCACACCGAGCGCAGUAAUACAUCUCGCUUUGGGCGUGCGGCGGGUUCUUGCCGUUAAACACCCCCUUUUUACCAAGGUUGACCUCGGAUCAGGUAGGAAUACCCGCUGAACUUAAGCAUAUCAAAGCGGAGGA
This 332-nucleotide unclassified non-coding RNA is filed under the name soil metagenome. RNAcentral's name for it is "partial contains 5.8S ribosomal RNA, internal transcribed spacer 2, and large subunit ribosomal RNA". The stretch from base 1 to 120 matches the Rfam family "5.8S ribosomal RNA", at positions 35 to 154 of the family's 154-position model. The record is from RNAcentral.